GCAAGGUCACAAAUUUGAUGACCUUACGAACAUUGUUCUCCUUAAUAACAUCCCCAGUUACCACUCCAGGCUCUUCUUUUUAAAGCCAGCUCCACUCACUCUUGCCGUACAUAUGGAACGUGGCAGAAAAUUUGUAUCACAUUUGGGGGGGGGAGCAGGGAAUUGUAUUCGCUAUUAUGCUGGUGAAAACCAGUGUUGUGUUGGCAUUCCUAAUGCCAUUGACUGACGGCACAUACACCAGCUUAAUGUAGCGGAAUAACAAAGAGAAUGCCAUAUCAAGGGCUGCAGCAUUUGUUUGUGAUUCUCUUCUUUUAUAUCCUAGUCAUUCAAACAGGCCAAGAGCCAGUAUUACUCUUCCCCAUUAUCUACUUAGAUUGUUCCUCUUAAUAAAAGGAUUUUUUUUUUAGUUUUCUAGAUGAUUUUUCCUCUGCUCCUCCCACGCCCUUCAUGGAACCCUCUUCCUUUCUCCAAGACUUCCUGUGUUGCAUUUUGGAUGCUCUCCUGAAGGAGCAGAAGCAGGUGCUAGAAGUCGACUCCUGUGAAAUGCUCAGCACCUCCAAGCAGUCAAGUGCCCUACGCUCUCAUUGACUUCAACAGGAGCUGAUCUAAAGGGAGUGGAACCAUUCCUAUUGACUUCAGUGAGCUUGGAAUUAGCACCAUGAAGGAGGCAGUGGGCAACUUUCCAGGAUUGGGCCCUAUGAGAUGAGGCAACUUUAGCAAUGUACUGGAAUGAAGGUUUGAUCCUUUAUAUGGCUGAGGUGUAGAAGAGUGGUUACAUCUAGAAUUAGAAAUCUGCCAGACCUGAUUGUAUCAUAUAUCUACGGUUACUUGGCUGCCUGGCUUCUAGAAAAUAGAAAAAUGUUAACCUAUCAGUGCAAAUCUCUUAACUUUAACUGAAAAAAUCCUUUGAAAACGAAAUAACACAUAAUAUAAACAUUAGAGAGCAUUAUUUUUCCCCUUACAACUCUAGUAUUUAUCCAUUUGUGGUAUAAUCGUUUGUUUAAUAACAAUUUUAUUAAUGAAAACAAAUACCAAACACUGUGCUAAAGCCCAGUACAGUCUUUCUCUUUAACUUGAACUAGUUGACAGUUUGUUUCCCUGUGAAGGCUUACCUAUAGUAUAAUUCUCAUUUAGUACGCAAUGAGGGGAGAAUAUACACUCCCACCUGACUAUUUUGAAAAUACCCAUUUAGGACACAAGCAGACUCAAAUCCUGAGCUGGGUGGUGCUCCGCUGGCAUUGCUGGCCUUAGGAGAAUGACUCCAGUGUAAGGGGAUUGUUGGGUGGGAUAGAGCCAGUGUUGCAGCUGAUAUAGAUCAGCUGGAUGUAUAUGUAGGGUGUCCCAAUGUCCUGAUGAUGCCCAGCUAGAGUCCUGGGCCCAAUGGCUACUGCAACAAGCUAAAGCAAUGCAUAGGGUGACUAGCCAGGAUCCA
Molecule: long non-coding RNA, 1432 nt
Filed under: Chrysemys picta bellii (western painted turtle)
Lineage: Eukaryota; Metazoa; Chordata; Testudines; Emydidae
Description: lncRNA (ENSCPBG00000009059.1)
Source: RNAcentral